UUUUGUAUUUUUAGUAGAGAUGGGGUUUCGCCAUGUGGGCCAGGCUGGUCUUGAACUCCUGACCUCAAGUGAUCCGCCUGCCUUGGCCUCCCAAAGUGUUGGGAUUAUAUGUGUGAGCCACCGUGCCAGCCCUAAAAAUCUCAUCCUUAUGUAACCUAAGCCCAGGACUUAGGACUUAGUGGUUAACAGGUUCCUGUGUUUAGUUGAUUUUACCGAAGAUGUUUGAGACUCUCAGAUCUGAUGGGCACUUGGCAUUGCUGUUGCCUUCUUUUUUUUUUUUUUUUUUUGAGACAGAGUCUUGCUCUGUUACCCAGGCUGGAGUGCAAUGGUGCAAUCUCAGCUCACUGCAACUUCAGCCUCCCUGGUUCAAGCAAUUCUCCUGCCUCAGUCUGCUGAGUAGCUGGGACUACAGGUGCGUGCCACUAUGCCCGGCUCAUUUUUUUAUUUUUAGUAGAGACGGAGUUUCACCAUGUUGGCCAGGAUGGUCUCAAUCUCCUGACCUUGUGAUCCACCUGCCUCGGCCUCCCAAAGUGCUGGGAUUACAGGGGUGAGCCGCCGGGACUGGCCUAUUGAAUUCUUAAAUAUGAAGAAGCCAGCCCUGUUGGCAGUUUAUCAGCUUUAAUCACCAUUACUGAAACUGGUGCUAUGAUCGAUCAUGCCUGGUCCUCCAGUCUUCCCUGGCCACUGUACUGCAGCUGCAUGAACAGCUGCGUUUGCUCAAUGGGAAGGAGACUCCCUGCUGGGGGAGGUAUGGGAGGGACUGGGGAGAGGCAUGAGGAAAUCCAAGUGCCUACAUUUUCUCUUUCAUCAUUAUCCAUAUCUUGAUUCUAGAACUUUAUUUUCUGGUGUCUCAGAAAGUUAAGAAACCAGUGUCUUCAAAAGUGAGAACCAACAUUCAGACCCAUGCAUAUUAUUGGAUUAUUAUUUUUGGCUAUGUAAGGGAGCCUCAUUGACCCAUUUUUUUGUUUUAAAUUCUUAUUUAAAUUUCUGCAAUAAUGACAUUUUUGUAACUGGCCCUUGCUGGACACUGGAUCGGUGUGAACAUUCACUUCCUCCUGUGUAGUUGGACUACCUUCUGGAGCAAUUCUUUCCCUUCCUAAGGCUUUGCUGGAUCCCCGCCGCCCUGAGAUCCCAACAGAACAAAGCAGAGAGGAGAACUUAAUCCCGUAUUCUCCAGAUGUACAGAUACAUGCAGAGCGAUUCAUCAACUAUAACCAGACAGUUUCUCGAAUGCGAGGUAUCUACACAGCUCCCUCGGGUCUGGAGUCCACUUGUUUGGUUGUGGCCUAUGGUUUGGACAUUUACCAGACUCGAGUCUACCCAUCCAAGCAGUUUGACGUUCUGAAGGAUGACUAUGACUACGUGUUAAUCAGUAGCGUCCUCUUUGGCCUGGUUUUUGCCACCAUGAUCACUAAGAGACUGGCACAGGUGAAGCUCCUGAAUCGGGCCUGGCGAUAAAGACCAAAGACUGUGCCUAAAAGUGGAGAGCCAGGGGAGUGUGGGUCAGAUAAGCAGCUACAGCUGCAGUUUGGUGGAUUGGUGGAGAGUGUGUGUGUGUGAGUCAGUGCUCAGCUAAGAGCUGUAGGGAAGAAGAUGGAUGACCUUCACGCAGAACUCCUUUUGGGAUACACAUGAUGCAGAAAGGAUCCUACAUGGAGAGAGACAGAACUCUCAGCUGACACUCUCAGAGAUUCCUGAUGGGCUUUCCCUUGAAGUCCAAAGGCCUCUGCAUUGUUUCCUUUCUUUGCCCAUCCGUGAAUGUUCUGUUUUGUUUUGUUUUUUUUUUAAUAAGAAUUCCGGCUGAUUUUUGUGAGGCCUGUUUAAAUUGACUUUACUUUGCCUUUUGUGUUUCCCAAUUUUAUCUAGAAAUCUUUCUGACUUUUUCCAUCUCUUGCUUCAAAGUAAGAGGGGAACUCUCCUUGCUGACUCCACCUUAUAGGUACAUUUGGUGUUUUGCACUGGGAAGAAAUAGGAUCCAUCCUUAGCUGAGGCUUGAGGACUGAUCCAGCCUCUCAUGGCUUCCCUCCAAAGUAACUUAGGGUUGAGGGAUCUAUGUGAUGUCAAAACUUACUUUAAACCUCUAGUUUCACGCUGUCAUUUAUUAGGCUGGGCCACCAAAUCUUUGUUUCAAUUUAUCAGAAGCCAAGUGCAUAGUAGCAUCUUGUUUGUUGCCCAUUGCCUGUACUUUUCACCUGAGAUGUGUGAGUUGGGGCCUUUUAAAAACUACUGAAUUGUCUGAGCCUUGAAGACAUUUCCAGGGAGAAGAGAUAAUCUCUCAUUUCACCCACAGGCUGGCCUAAUCAUAACCUAGUUAAAGAUGUCCUUGUUUAAGAACCCCAUUAUUUAUUUUUAGUUUUUAAUAUAAAUUAACAUGUGGGUCAUCGUAUUUCUCCUUAAAUGAGGAAAUUUUAAGUCUUAUUGAUCUAACCUUUGAAGCUUUAAAAAAGAGGAGAAAGAGGGUAGGGGUGGGAAACUGGCAUACUGUGUGUACAGCACUGCCGAUUGGCUAGGCCGCUGUGUCUCUGCUACAAAUUAAAGAAAUCCUAAAAGUUUUCCUUGGUCAUAGAGUUGGGGAAUGACAGAAUUUUUCUUUAUUGUGAAAUGUAUGUACAGAGUAGACCAUCUCUAGCCCUGUGGUGAAAGAGGUACACUCGAAUGUCUGAAUAAAACAAGUGACAAAUGACACUGUUUAAGUCCUCUUUUGUGUCUUAGAAGAUCACUUUGAGGCUAUUUUCACAUUAGAGGGGAUAAAAGCAGUGAAGACACGGAGUAAGUGUAUUUUAUUUUAGUAAGGAAAGGUCGGUUUAAUCAUAUAUGGGUUGGUUAGGUUAUCUAAAAAUUUGUCAUCUUUCUAUGGUCAUAUGCUGAUGGUAGAUUAUGGCAGAGAAGGAAGAGGAAAUGACAACCAUUUUAUUAAUUGUCAAUUUGAUAUUGAGUGACUGAAUGUCUAAGAAUCUCCAGAAAAGACAGGCAUCUAUCAUCUGACCCAAGGCAUAUUUUAACAUAACCUGGGAGAAGAGAGUAAGUACAAGUCAAAAAAAAUUCUGCCCUAAUUUUGAGAAAGCCUGGCUGGAAUUCUGACUGUCUUACAUACAUAUGUGCAAGGUUAGCCUGCAAAAUUCUAGUUUUUAUUUACCAGUGUGCCAGAAUCUGAAACAAGUUACUGGAAGUUAUUUGUCCUUUAGUAAAAUUCCCUGUAUUUCAGCUGUAAUCAAAGUUACCUCAAAGCAGGUGCUUUUUUUUUUUUUGGGACAGAAUCUCACUCUGUCGCCCAGGCUGGAGUGCAGUGGCACGAUCUUGGCUCACUGCAACCUCCACCUCACAAGCAGCUGGGACUAUAGGCGCGUGCCACCACGCUCAGCUAAUUUUUUGUAUUUUUAGUAGAGACGGGGUUUCAUUGUGUUGGCCAGGCUGGUCUCGAACUCCUGGCCUCAAGUGAUCUGCUGGCCUUGGCCUCCCAAAGUGCUGGGAUUACAGGUGUGAGCCACCGAGCCUGGCCAAGUGCUUAAAAUAGUUAAUGCUAAUGCCACAGUCCAAUUUAAAUCUUUUCUUAAUUCUCAACUUUCCUUAAUCUUAAAGCAGCAUUUGGUUCUGAGCAGCUACGCUCAGUCUCCACCAAUGGCUGCUGAGACUGUAUGUUUCCUCUCUCAAUUCUCUGAUCUAUUUGCUUUCUUGUCAUUCUUUGUUUUUUUUGUGUAUUCCUUGACUUACCUCUUCUCCUGUCUUCAUUAAUUAGGUUAAUUUUGGGGCCCCUACGGUGUUUCACUUAAAAAGAUUUGGCUGGGCAUGAUGGCUCAUGCCUAUAAUUCCAGCACUUUGGGAGGCCAUAGUGGAGGAUCUCUUGAGCCCAGGAGUUCCAGACCAGCCUGGGCAACAUAGCAAGACUCUAUCUAC
This 3894-nucleotide small RNA is filed under the name Pongo abelii (Sumatran orangutan). Its description in RNAcentral is "retained intron". Lineage: Eukaryota; Metazoa; Chordata; Mammalia; Primates; Hominidae. The record is from RNAcentral.